Centropristis striata (black sea bass) is the source of this 748-nucleotide long non-coding RNA. RefSeq lists it as uncharacterized. Lineage: Eukaryota; Metazoa; Chordata; Actinopteri; Perciformes; Serranidae. The transcript has 3 exons. The record is from RefSeq and is a predicted model, not a curated record.
GAUCAGAAGGCUAAAUGUGACACUUUUAUUCAAUUUACACUUACAUUUAGUUGUGUUAAAUUAGGUAAAUAAUAAACUAACUAACCUAAACUGUAUGUUGACCAUUACAGAUGUGUGACGUAUCAUCUCACCUCAGCGACCACAGCUACUGGAGGACGGUGCCCAGCAGGAGACGGGACGCCACCAACCAGGCAGCUGACCCACUGACUGUUUGUCCUCCUGCUGGUCUGGAUGCGCUGCCUGGAUGAAGAUGUAUCGUCGUGGCGAUCGUGCGUUUGGUCCCACCUCGGUCCGCGCGUUACACUAAGCCAUCAGCUUCGGAGGGCACAAAGCGUAAGAGGGAGAGCAGCUCUGCCGACCACGAGGAGCCCCCGGAGAAGAAACUCCGUGUGUCUGCGCCCGUGCUGCCGGAGCGGAGCCCCAGCCCUCAGCCCUCCACCUCUUCACAGAGCAGCCUGGAGGUGAGUGGUCCUACUGUGUCCCACACAUCUAUCCCACACUGCACCAGUGUAAAGGGUGUAGCUGAACCCCCACCUCCCUCUCUCUGUCUGUGUGUCUGAAGGAGGUCCAGCAGCCUGAGGACGACGUUGAGUACGAUGACGUCAUGGCCUUGCCCCUCUUCCCCGCCCCCUACGAGUCCCAGCCCGGUCUCUCCCCUUUUGAGGUGCUGUCGCAGAUCGUCAUGGACUGGCUGACUGACUCUCCGUACAACCCGGAGCUGUGACAGUACCACACACACACACACACA